This is a long non-coding RNA of Musca domestica (house fly), 1013 nucleotides long. RefSeq lists it as uncharacterized. The transcript has 2 exons. The record is from RefSeq and is a predicted model, not a curated record. Lineage: Eukaryota; Metazoa; Arthropoda; Insecta; Diptera; Muscidae.
GUAUUGCAAUUUGUAAACAAACAAAAUAAUCGGGUUUACUUGCAAAGAGGUCAGGUGAAUAUGUGCACCUCAAGCGCCUGCCAUGGUGAUGGUGUGGGCAGCCUUAACAGCCGAUAGUCGCUCUCCGCUCGUAUUAAUCGACCGUGGCAUCAGAAUAAAUGCCGAAUAUUAUCGCGAUAUAACCUUGGACAUUCCAACUCAGCAUCAUUGCACUCAGCACGCGCCACCAAAUAAUGGUUACAAAAUGAGGUUCCUCUCUUCAUUUCCAGCGCACAAUGGCCACCAAAAUCUCCGGAUACCAAUCCGUUAGACUAUUGAGUCUGGAGUAUUUUGCCACUUUUGGAUUUAUAUUUAUAAAUGCACACUAUGAUCUAUUUAUAUCAGCGUUCGAAAAUAAACAGUACACAAACAUACAGCCAGUUCCACGAUAUCGAAAUAACACGUUCGCACAAUUUUUACACGACAAACAGCUGAUUUCCGUUCCCCUAAAAUCUAUCUGAACGAAAAUUUGCACGAAAAUCAAAGCGAACGAAAACGUAAGCAUUUCAGUGUAAUUUUGCGUUCCACUAUCUUUUUUCUUUCGUACGCAUGCGAACACAAAUGUCAAAAUCAGUCACUUGUGUGUUUGCUAUCGUAUAAUAACAAUUAAGGAAAAUUGUUUUAACAUAAACAUUGCUUGAUUGAAAAUGGAAACAAAAAUCACGAAAAAAUCAUCAACUACACAGCUGCGGGCACUAGUUGAGUAAAUGGAGGAGAAUCCUGUGUUCGCCAGAGGAAUGCCAAUUUUUGGAAGCAGCAGAAGAAGUUUUAAAUCGGGGCGGAUUUGGGUAGUUCUGCAACCGGGCACCCACUUCUCUUCCAUCAUAUCCAAAAGAGCCCGAAAACUUCCUUCGACACACGAAAGAUGGCCACAAACCUAGAAAAAAUCAUUUUUUAUUAUUUCAAAAAUGUAAAAAUACAAUCAUACUUACUGGUUGUUAGGUACUUCAAAUAAAUUCGAAGCAUCUCUUAAA